Molecule: ribosomal RNA, 494 nt
Filed under: uncultured bacterium
Lineage: Bacteria
Description: bacterial SSU rRNA
Rfam family: Bacterial small subunit ribosomal RNA
Source: RNAcentral
GAUGAACGCUAGCUACAGGCUUAACACAUGCAAGUCGAGGGGAAACGACAUCGAAAGCUUGCUUUUGAUGGGCGUCGACCGGCGCACGGGUGAGUAACGCGUAUCCAACCUGCCCACCACUUGGGGGAUAACCUUGCGAAAGUAAGGCUAAUACCCAAUGAUAUCCCACGAAGGCAUCCGAAUGGGAUUAAAGAUUUAUCGGUGAUGGAUGGGGAUGCGUCUGAUUAGCUUGUUGGCGGGGUAACGGCCCACCAAGGCGACGAUCAGUAGGGGUUCUGAGAGGAAGGUCCCCCCACAUUGGAACUGAGACACGGUCCAAACUCCUACGGGAGGCAGCAGUGAGGAAUAUUGGUCAAUGGGCGAGAGCCUGAACCAGCCAAGUAGCGUGCAGGAUGACGGCCCUAUGGGUUGUAAACUGCUUUUAUAAGGGAAUAAAGUGAGUCUCGUGAGACUUUUUGCAUGUACCUUAUGAAUAAGGACCGGCUAAUUCCGUG